UAUCCAUCCCAUGCGGGAAGGAUGAGAAGCUUCGACUUCGAGCGGAGCGAGAAAGCGUUGCCGCAGGCAACGACCCGAAGGGCGAGGCGCAACGCGCCGAGUAAUCCUUCCCCCACCACCA
This 121-nucleotide small RNA is filed under the name Klebsiella michiganensis. RNAcentral's name for it is "RtT sRNA". It matches the Rfam family "RtT RNA". From Rfam's summary of the family: This family represents a bacterial cis-regulatory element known as RtT RNA. The exact function of RtT is unknown although it is thought that it may be involved in changing the cellular response in relation to amino acid starvation. Lineage: Bacteria; Pseudomonadati; Pseudomonadota; Gammaproteobacteria; Enterobacterales; Enterobacteriaceae. The record is from RNAcentral.